Non-coding RNA from Paramuricea clavata, 217 nucleotides. The record is from the annotation of a GenBank genome assembly. Lineage: Eukaryota; Metazoa; Cnidaria; Anthozoa; Malacalcyonacea; Plexauridae.
UACGGUAGUGAUUUAUAUAUCAAAUGGUGUCCCUAUCACCUGUAAAUAACAUUUACAUAAUGUAACAUUUGUGCAAUAUUCUCAAUAGAGGGGAAGAUGCAUGAUGCACGGAUGCUUGGUGAGUCUGGCCUGUACAACAACAUGAGGCAAUUUGCAUUCUCCAGACAAGGCGAACCAAUGUGCAUUUAUGGUGAUCCGGCCUACCCACUUCGGAUGC